Long non-coding RNA from Esox lucius (northern pike), 5196 nucleotides. Lineage: Eukaryota; Metazoa; Chordata; Actinopteri; Esociformes; Esocidae. The record is from Ensembl.
UGACGAUAUUUGGACAAAUCAUAUGCGUGCUACUACCCACAAUGCGUUAUUCGCUUGAUUAACUUGCCGGACAUCGUGUGUUCUUCUUACAGUGUUUCCUAUGUAUACUGCUAACCAUCUGACUGCCGUUACCACAUAAUCUUGUCCACAUGGCAAGAUCAAUGCCUUCAGUAUCCUCUCACAUAUGUUUAGGCUCCUACUAUAUGUCUACUGGCCAUGGUUGAAUUUUUUUGUAUUGCUAGAAUGGCUCUCUAAGAGGUGUUCAAUCUCAAAAUCACCGCUGGCAUCUACAUGUUUACGUAUGGUUCAACCUUACCAUCAGUAUGCGAAUGCGAUUCGGUAUGAAAAUGCGUAUUGGUGGAUAUGUAAUUCUACAGGAAUUUCCAACUGUUUAAAACGUCAGCACAUAAGGUGCUUUCACACUGUGAACAAUCACCCAGCAUAGCCAUGGCCUCCCUCGGUGGUCUGUUGCCAAGGGGAACCAUCCUGGCCGAAUGAUACAGAGAGAGAAUUGAGAGUGGAAGCAGCCUUGAGGUGCCCGAAGACGAGAGAUGGUCGUCACUGACAGGAGCUCCAGCACACCUGUGCCCAAGAAGCCGGAGCCAAAGAAGAAGAAGAAGAGGAAGUCCCGCCCCCAUGGCUUGCCCUCCCCUGCGCUGUGUUGUGCGUGCGGCCUGUGCAUCAUGCUGGCGGGCAUCAACAUCACCCUGGUGGGGGCGUUUGCCUUCAGCACCCUGGUGCCCUCCGCCAACCCUCCUAUCAUCAUAGGACCCAUCCUGCUCCUAGUGGCCUUCUCUUUCUUCGGCGCGUGCUGUGUCUGUAGCCGUCUGCCCCCCGCCCAGGGAUCCCGGAGGUCAAAGGUUGGCGGGAGGAGCAUGGGGAUGCUGGGACGGGGAGGUCUCGCAGGGGGGGCGACGUUCGAGAUUGAGACGAGCGAGCACACUUUGCAGGACACCACGGCGGUGCAGCUCAGCCCCUCGGCGUCGCCGGGGUCUUCGCGGGCGUCCAGCCCAGAGCGGGAUGCUCCUGAGCCAGCCCCGAAAGGGACCUGCAAGCUGUUCACCAUGGAGGCCAAUGGCCCCGCCUCUGCCACGGCCUGCUACACCGCCUCCUCGGACGGGGUCGGGGCUGUGAGGCUUAACCUGCCGCGUGACGAUGUGGCCACCUAGUACAGCCUCCCUGGAGCCUCCUGCCAAAUAAUGACGACUUAUGGCAACGACACGUGAAACUAUGUAAAUAGGAACUAGGAUGGUCUGACAGUGUUUCCGUGUGUCUAGCCUUUUCGUGAAGUGCAAUUUUUCAUGUUUAUGACAAAGUUUUGAUUCAGUUUUUUGCAGCAGCCGACCUGUUAUUAGCAUGCCAUCCAAUGUCGAAGGAGCGUGGAUGAUGGCUCUGUUGGGGUGGAUGUUCCUACCUCUUUAAAACUGCUCUUCAGCACCCUCUUCCAUGGGGCAUUAUUUUAAGCAGUUGACUGGAAAGCACAAUGAGAGAAUUGGUUUCUCUGUUCAUUCUUGGGGGGUGAAGUACAAAUAGUGGUGUCCCUUUGAUUCGACUGACUGGGACUCCAUGCUCCACAUUUUAGCUGUUUCCUCUGAAGAAACUUUUUUUUCUCCCGGAACAGAAAUAUUUACGCAAAAUAGCAAUGAAUUUAAUGCCAUCAAUUAAAUGCUCACACUGUUUGACAUUACAGAGCUUCUCUCACUUUGAAUUACGUGCAAAAAAACAUAUCGGGGUCGCAAUGUUUCUUUGAAACUAAUCGUAAUUGAAAGGAUCAGCGACAGAGGGCUUUUUUCCUCAACUGUUUCUACGAACUGAACGUAUAUUGGAUGAAACACUGUAGUCUUUGUGUUGUUCUCGUAUGGUGAGGGUGCUUGGGUAACUUGGCCGCAUCAAUGGUUGUUUAUAAUAUCACUGUGUUUUCAUGAGUGGAAAUCUCGUCUGCUUUUACACUGUGACUAUUAUGUUGUUGUGUUUUUUUACCACCUUUUCCAGGCUUACUAAAGAUCAUCAUAUUAGAGCCAAAUUAGACUUCACAGCAUUCACUGCCACUUUGACAGAAUCCAGAAUACAUUAACAGCCACUGUGUGUGCGUUGCAUAACACAACAUAUCCCUAUCAACAUUAUGGUUAUAAAAAUUAGGAAUGCUAUUUACAGAUAUGCCCUACUACACAUAGAUUAUUUGCCAACAUGUGGCUUUCUAGACUUGCUGUGGCAAUCUGAUGACAUUCUGUUUACAGUAGCUUGGGAAAGUGGAAAAAGUAUUAGAUAUUGUACGUAGACUAAAAUAUAGUCAGGUAUUUCGAUUUUGUUGUAUUUAUAAUUUCACCCCCUUCCCCCGAUUAUAUUUUUCUCACCGAUGGGACAGUUUCUCUACCUGUUCUCAGUAGAAACCAUCGAACACAGACACUCAAAGUCACUUUUAAGUAAUGCUGCCUUAGACUGAGCUCUCAGGAUUAAACAGACAAUGGCUAUUUUAAUAUGCGUAAUGGCAUUGUCAGCAGCAAACAGCAGUAAAGCAGUAAGAUGUGAUGAGUUUACAUCACAGUUAGAUUGAAAAAAUAUAUAUUUUCAUUCCCCCAGUAUUUGGCCCAUAAUGCCGUUUAGAUUUUUUUUUUUUUAAGCGUAAUAGGAAAGUAGCUUAUUUGGUAUUUUUGCAGAACAAUUUCCCAUGAGAAAAAAAUUAUAGUUCAUGUGAGGAAUUACAUACUGUAUGAGUGUGACUCAUAUGCCCAGAGAAUGUGCCUGUUUUAAAUGUGAACUGUCAACAUACUGUAUAUGUUAACUAUCAGUGUUGGCUGGGUUUUUCCCAAAAAAAAUAUAUCUUUAAAAAUUUAUUAUUUUUGUGGAAAUUAUAUUUACCUAAUUUGAAAACAAUAUAUGUAAUACUUGUGAAUACUAAGAAGAUAAAUAAAAUGAAAUGCAAAUAUGAAAUGGAUUUCAAAGACAAAGAGUUUAUUACAGUGAACUGCAUGAAAGGAUUCAAAGUUUCUUUGUACAAAAUUCUAUUCCUUUGUUUGCACUUCAUCGGUUCCUGCUGUUAAAUCUUGCUGCUGCUGAGGCCGUUGGUUGUCUGAACACUGGCUCUUUUCAGACAUCUUUUUCAAUGCCAUUAGGCAGAGCCAUCUCUGUCUUCAUGUUCCUUCUUGUUUACAUCCUGGUCAACCAUUUCAUGUCUAGCCUGUGUCUUUACCUGAGACAGCGUCUUUUUAUCUGCCUUGUGUGCUGAUUCAGUCUUGUUUUCGUCUGAUUCAGGUAAAGCAUAGAAAUGGGACUGUAGAUGCUAGGGCACCCCUGACCUUGACGUCUUUGCACGUUGGCUGCACUUGGGAGUUGGUCAUUAGGGAGAGGCAACCGCUUGCCCUCUCUCUUUUUCGAGCUUCUUCAGCUGUUUAAUUUCCAUUGAAAGCCUGUGACAGACUGACCAACUAUGGGGCCACACCAAACAUCAGGACCACUUCUGUCACGUAGAUUGUGUAAAAGAUGGGGACGCUGACAGUGUCUGUGGAGAGUCGCUCUCGCUGCUGGCCAACCAGGUUGGCAAAUAGCAUCAACCCUCAGAGAGGGAAAGAGUGGCUGAGCAUCUUAAAGGGAACCGUUUUUUUUUUUUUCACCGGUGAGCAAAAACUUUUUGUUAUCAACCGGCAAACUGUUUCGUUCGAAUGUCAACUAAAACAUGUCCAUGGUGACAUUGUGACAUCUUAAUAUAUUUUAGUAGGAUUCUGCUGAAUAUGCAUGAAUUAGCUCUGGUGUCUUGCUGGUGAAGGAACCAAAAAAUGUCAAUUAUAUGUUUAUUUACACAUUCAAUGAUUCUUCAUUGUUUAGCAUAAACAUGUAUACCUAUGUACUUCAUUUCUGUCCUCGUAAGGCUAUCAGAUGUGUAUGUAGAGACAAAAGGGUUGCUUUUAACUGCCUAGCUUGCUUGAUCCUUGAGUUAACACCACUCUGUCAUAUGAGAUGGCCCCAGGUACAGAUUUGAUUGACCCCUAAUUGAUAAGGGGUCUAUUCUGCAGGACUAGUCUUGGUAUCUUCAUGUCGGCUAACCAACCCCAACAUAUUAUAUUGUUGGGUUAUAAACCAGAGUCGGGUUUGGAAAAUCUCUCUCUUGCAUUUUCAUCACUUCUGCAUGCAUUUCUGCUCUUGCAACUUCCUAAAUCUCCUGAGAACUUUCAUCUUUGAUACUUAAUGACUAUUUUGAAUUAAUCUAAGACAAUUCAAAAUCAAGUUCCUUCACUGGUAUGACAAUUUGAACCAGAGUCAUAUAAUACUGUGAGGAAGUACUCCUCUCUGAAAAGUUUUGUAAAUUUAGUUUUUUGAUGUAUUUGUAAUGAUGGAUAUUUGAUCACGAUUUCCACACCAGUGACUGAUACAGGUAACUUAAUCCAAGAAAUUAAAUAAAUGCACAACUGACAUUUGCCUGACCAAACCUGGGUGAUGAACAAGUCUUCUGGAACAAUGUGCUUCGGACAGAUCAGAAAACGUUAUACGGCAGUAAUGUGAAAACAAAAUACUUUCUUUUAACAAAAGCACCUUAUAUAAAUUGCGGUUUGGGGGUGCAUUGCACCAUCAGGGACUGUGCUUUAGUCAACUAUGAGUUCCAAUUUGUAUGAGAGAAUACUCAGGAGAAUGUGAAACUAUCGGUUAAAAAGCUAAAGCUGAAGCAAAAAUGUGUAUUGCAACAGGACAAUGAUCCAAAAUUCUAGAGCAAUUCCACAACAGAACGGACCAAAAAUCUGAAAUGGAGGGUUAUGGAAUGGAAGAGUCAAUUGAUUUUAUUCCUACAGAAAAGCUCAGGGAAAAGUUGAAGCAGGCUGUACAUACCAGGAAGCCUUCUAAUCAUACAGCUGAAGCUGUUAGAAAGAUUGGCCAUGAAUUACUUUCAAUCAAUGUGAGGGACUGAUAGGUCUAUUGUCAAUUAAACACAAAGUCCCUCCUUUGUCCUCAGUCCUGCCCUCUCUCCACUUUGACCCGGAUCUGAUUAAGUGGUUGAGGAGAUAGCUUUGGUGAACAGAUUGCACAGACACGAGUGAAUGUUAUUGUGUAAAAACAUAUAUAAAAUACAGAAAAGAAUAUACAAAAAGGGCAAAACCUCGUUUUGAAGCUAGGGUUGUAUCUUUUUUAUCACAAAGAAAUUGCUAUCUUAAGUUACUCAUCUGUCAAUAUUGUUGAAGUUGAUCAAAUAUCCAAAUAGUUAAACAC